CUUCUCCCCUUCACAUCCCAUAUUUUCUUUUCUUCCCUCCUGCCGCUCACAUCUUCCACGCAAGAGGCAACCCAUCGAGCCCCCUCCCGAUAUCUUAUCCCAUCCACAAUACAGGGCGGCGGCGGCGGCUGGGAUCCCAUCUCCAUGCCAAGUGCUCUCUGGCACGACCGCCAAUUUGGCUUGCCUCCGUAGCACUCGAGGAUUCUCUAGGGCUAUGUUUCGCUGGUGUGGUGUGCAUCGUCAAGACGGCGGUGCCCCGGUCCUUCCCCCAUCUAUGUCUUCGUUCCAUCCAAGGUAGCUCCGGUGCUGCUCCUCCACCGGCCGUCUGCGCCACCCAAAUCAGGCGUAACCUCUUCUUGUGUCCACCGCCCAGACAUGUGCCGGCCAAGCUGGCCGCAGAAACACCAGCGACCUACAUCGGAAGCAUCACCGCUCGUAUGGAUGCCACCGCGGCUGCCUCAUUGCAAUAGCAGGCCACCGCACGCAUCCGGAAACCGUGCAGAGAUAAAUCUACUACACACUCCAGCUAAGUUGAUAAUUUUUUCUUCCCUUUUGACUAUUUCCAGAUAAUUAAGUGUUACACAUGAAGUCUUCAUGAGUAAUCAAGAUUGGUUCAUUAAUAUCGCAAUUUCCCUUUUGAUUCCUGUGAUCUCCCUAAUCCUCUUCACCAUAGCGUCUGGGUCCAUAAUCUUUCUUUUCAUUUAUUUUUGGGGAUGGCUCCGUGCACCUAUAUAUCUUGAUUUUGCAGCAGGCCGCAUGCCGUCAGGAAUCCAUCAAUUCCUGCUUCUGCUACUGCAUGAAGGUUCACACUGAUGUUUAUUCACGCUCUUGAUCUUUCAAGCCCUUAUUGCUGCAUUCCAAGUCCUUCCCCUUCCCUUGCUGUUGUGCAUUAGGAUGGUCCCAUAUAGCUGCCUCUUGGUCUCUAUUCAACCUUCUGACCGCUGGUAAUCCUACACCUUGCAAAACUUCCUUCACUUUCAGUAUCGGUGCCGCUUUCGGGCGCCUCAACCUGCACUUAGAUCGGGAGAAAAAGGAUAGCGGAGACUAGAUAAAGGAAGAGGGGAAGUGGAUAUAUCAACUUCGUAUGACGCAACAUGGCCAGGUAGAUAUGCAGCCGGCAAAAGCGUUUGCUUGGUUAGGGGAGGAGAGUUGUUGUGUCACACGUGAACUACAUCAUGAUCUGCUGCCAUCAAGAGAGACACCCAGCUCCAAAAAAUAGUUUCAACUUGCAGAUUUGUUGUUGACUAACCAAUUUUCUCUAGCAGGUGCUGUCAAUCAUAUUAUUCUACCCCUUUGAUAUAGGCGAUGCCUAAAAUCCACUGAAGGUUACCUUUUUCUAUAUUCGGCGAUUGAGUCUUAAUCAUUCUGAUGUUUUACUGUCAUGAGUUACUUCAACAUAUAUUCGGCGGUUGAGUAUAAAUCAUUCUGACAAGUAAAUGCAUGUGAACAUUCAAAGGAAGAUGGUAAAAAAUAGUAUAUGAUGGAAUCAUCUAGCAGUUCCUGGAGGUUGUGCUGUCAAGAAUCGAAUGCUAUUUUCCCAAUAUAUAGGCGUAAGAACAUCUCCUGCUUUAAUGGCCCCAUUAUUGAACCAAAGUUCCACCAUGCUAAGUUUAAGAGCUUUCUCCCUUACCUGACAUUGUCCUAUGAAGUCAAAUUGGCUCAGUACCUUAUUUCAUUCUAAAACUUACUUUUCUCGCUAAUUGUUGUAUCAUAAUUUCAUUCACUGAAUGUAGUAGAUUGAAUAAAUUUGCAGAAUUAUGAUACAACCUGAACUGGUACUACGGUUCUGUUCUCGCCAUCAUGCAACUUCCUGCACACUAUUCUGUUUUGCCCUCCCUGUUAAUGCAGAUGACUGCUCGCUUUUGUGGCCAGAUGAAGAUAAGGAAUUGAGAUUCGAUGCAAGUGAUAAAGAAGAAGCAUUACCACCUCCCAAGGAAAUCUCCAAUGUCUAUUUGUUUUGUGUUUCUUUAUCUGCUCUUUGUGUGUCAGUUAUUUUGGUUCGGAUGAUGGAGCGGAAACACCGAUAAACAUUGAAAUGAUAUAAAAAACACACAAUCUUUGUAUUUUUCUU
Triticum dicoccoides is the source of this 2071-nucleotide long non-coding RNA. RefSeq lists it as uncharacterized. The record is from RefSeq and is a predicted model, not a curated record. NCBI's taxonomy places the organism in Eukaryota, Viridiplantae, Streptophyta, Magnoliopsida, Poales, Poaceae. The transcript is spliced from 2 exons.